UACGUAGGGGGCGAGCGUUGUCCGGAGUUACUGGGCGUAAAGCGCUUGUAGGCGGUCCACCAAGUUUGGGGUGACAGUUGCCGACUUAAUCGGCAAAGUGCCUCAAAGACUGGCGGACUUGAGGGCCACAGAGGGACAUGGAACUCCAGGUGUAGUGGUGAAAUGCGCAGAUAUUAGGAGGAACACCGGUGGCGAAGGCGCCGCUCUGGGCCGAUACUGACGCUGAGGAGCGAAAGCGUGGGUAGCAAACAGG
This 253-nucleotide ribosomal RNA is filed under the name uncultured bacterium. Its description in RNAcentral is "partial 16S ribosomal RNA". It matches the Rfam family "Bacterial small subunit ribosomal RNA", at positions 524 to 776 of the family's 1533-position model. The record is from RNAcentral.